UUAAGUUCAGCGGGUAUCCCUACCUGAUCCGAGGUCAAGCUUGAAUGAAUCUUGCCGGAUGCUGCCUAGCCAGACCCGCCAGAGCGCUGAUUCUGCUGCGCUGGGGGCUGACAUAGAAGCUGCCGAUAGCUUUGGGGCGAGUCCAUGCAGCAACACAGGACAGACGCCCAACACCAAGCAGAGCUUGAGGGUGUAAAUGA
This 200-nucleotide unclassified non-coding RNA is filed under the name Aquilomyces sp. RNAcentral describes it as "partial internal transcribed spacer 2". Lineage: Eukaryota; Fungi; Ascomycota; Dothideomycetes; Pleosporales; Morosphaeriaceae. The record is from RNAcentral.